CAGGACGAACGCUGGCGGCGUGCCUAACACAUGCAAGUCGAGCGAGGAGAUCCUCGGGAUGAUCCUAGCGGCGGACGGGUGAGUAACACGUGGGCAACCUGCCUCAUAGAGAGGAAUAGCCUUCCGAAAGGGAGAUUAAUACCUCAUAACAUUGCAGUUUCGCAUGGAACAGCAAUUAAAGGAGUAAUCCGCUAUGAGAUGGGCCCGCGGCGCAUUAGCUAGUUGGUGGGGUAACGGCUCACCAAGGCGACGAUGCGUAGCCGACCUGAGAGGGUGAUCGGCCACAUUGGGACUGAGACACGGCCCAGACUCCUACGGGAGGCAGCAGUGGGGAAUAUUGCACAAUGGGGGAAACCCUGAUGCAGCCAACGCCGCGUGAGUGAUGACGGCCUUCGGGUUGUAAAGCUCUGUCUUCAGGGACGAUAAUGACGGUACCUGAGGAGGAAGCCACGGCUAACUACGUGCCAGCAGCUGC
Molecule: ribosomal RNA, 475 nt
Filed under: uncultured bacterium
Lineage: Bacteria
Description: bacterial SSU rRNA
Rfam family: Bacterial small subunit ribosomal RNA
Source: RNAcentral